Molecule: ribosomal RNA, 1510 nt
Filed under: human gut metagenome
Description: bacterial LSU rRNA
Rfam family: Bacterial large subunit ribosomal RNA
Source: RNAcentral
UACUCCCGAGAGACCGAUAGUGAACCAGUACCGUGAGGGAAAGGUGAAAAGCACUUCGAACAGAAGAGUGAAAUAGUCCCUGAAACCAUACGCCUACAAGCUGUCGGAGCCGCUUCGUGCGGUGACGGCGUGCCUUUUGCAUAAUGAGCCUACGAGUUACUCAUCACCAGCGAGGUUAAGUACUUCAGGUACGUAAGCCGAAGCGAAAGCGAGUCUGAAUAGGGCGUCAAGUUGGUGGUGGUAGACGCGAAACCUUAGUGAUCUACCCAUGGGCAGGGUGAAGGUUUGGUAACACAAACUGGAGGCCCGAACCGGUAAACGUUGAAAAGUUUUCGGAUGACCUGUGGGUAGGGGUGAAAGGCCAAUCAAACUGGGAAAUAGCUCGUACUCUCCGAAAUGCAUUUAGGUGCAGCCUCUGUUGUUUUGUUCUAGAGGUAGAGCUACUGAUUGGAUGCGAGGGCUUCACCGCCUAUCAAAUCCGGCCAAACUCCGAAUGCUAGAACAUGAAGACAGGGAGUGAGCCAGCGGGUGCUAAGGUCCGUUGACGAAAGAGGGAGAACUCAGACCAUCAGCUAAGGUCCCCAAUUAUAUGCUAAGUUGGAAUUAAAACGGGGUGGGACUGCUUAGACAGCUAGGAUGUUGGCUUGGAAGCAGCCAUUCAUUUAAAGAGUGCGUAACAGCUCACUAGUCGAGCGGUCCUGCAUGGAUAAUACGCGGGCAUAAGCAUAUAACCGAAGCUAUGGGAUUGUAGAUGAUACAAUCGGUAGGAGAGCAUUCCAUUCAGCAUAGAAGCAGUACCGUGAGGUAUUGUGGAGCGGAUGGAAAAGCAAAUGUAGGCAUAAGUAACGAUAAUGCGGGUGAGAACCCCGCACGCCGAAAGAUCAAGGAUUCCCCGGCAAUGUCAAUCAUCCGGGGGUAAGUCGGAUCCUAAGGGUAAGCCGAGUGGCGAUCCCGAUGGCAAACAGGUUAAUAUUCCUGUACUGAUCAUAACUGCGAUGCAGCGACGCAGAGGUGACACUGCUGCGUACUGACGGAAUAGUACGUUGAAACCCGUAUUCUUUGAUACCGGUAGUGAAGCACGCCGGUAGAGAUGAAAGGUGAUAGUACCGCAAUGCUUCGGUUGCGCGGAUAACGCAGGUAAGCUGACUGCCAAGAAAACCUGCUAAGCUUCAGGUAAUGAUCAUCCGUACUGUAAACGGACACACGUGAUCAGGUAGAAAAUACUAAGGCGCUCGAGAGAUUCAUGGUUAAGGAACUAGGCAAAAUGGUCCUGUAACUUCGGGAUAAAGGACGCUCUUGUGAAAGAGCCGCAGAUAAUAGGCCCAGGCGACUGUUUACCAAAAACACAUGGCUAUGCUAAUUCGCAAGAAGAUGUAUAUGGCCUGACACCUGCCCGGUGCCGGAAGGUUAAGAGGAGAGCUCAGAGGUAACUCGAAGGUUUGAAUUGAAGCCCCGGUAAACGGCGGCCGUAACUAUAACGGUCCUAAGGUAGCGAAAUUCCUUGUCGGGU